AAACUUAUCCAAUUUGCCAAACUUUGACGUCAUCUCACGCACAGAAACAUUAGCCAUUGUUCACCGUAAAUACUCUUUAAGAUUGUUGUGUAACGACGUUGUAUCUCCGGGACGUAACGAACGUGAACUUGGAUAGAGAUUGAAUCGCGCACGAGAGCACUUUCCUUAAAGAGUAUUUCGACCCUUCUCAAGCCUUGGGUUACACGAAAUCCCUUCUAGGAUAAGACAAUCAAAGUUCUCUCUUGUUCUAGGCUAAGACACAAGAGAAACAAAUAGAGCUUUUUGUGUUUUGUUUUGUGUUUUGCACUAAAGAUUAAGACAAUCUUUAGUCUCGUGAAUCUCUCUUUUCUCCUCUUCUUCUCUUUCUUUGACACAAGAGAAACAAAGUUUAUAUAUGGUUCAAAAGUUGUGACGUACGUUUGCAACCGUACGUUUAAAUAAUAACCAUAAAUUGAAUAGUUG
RNAcentral lists this long non-coding RNA (462 nucleotides) under Arabidopsis lyrata. RNAcentral's name for it is "long non-coding RNA (ALYR_LNC003070)". Lineage: Eukaryota; Viridiplantae; Streptophyta; Magnoliopsida; Brassicales; Brassicaceae. The record is from RNAcentral.